CGGUGUUCAACUGGCGUGUCCGCGGGACGUCCUGCCGGUGGGCUUAGCCCGCAAGGGCGGCCCCAACUUCAAAUCCCAUCGCGGUGCUCUUCACUGAGUGUCGAGAUGGGCCGGCACGUUUACUUUGAACAAAUUAGAGUGCUUAAAGCAGGCUAAAACUUCGCCUGAAUACUGUGUGCAUGGAAUAAUGGAAUAGGACCUCGGUUCUAUUUUGUUGGUUUUCGGAACCCCGAGGUAAUGAUUAAUAGGAACGGAUGGGGGCAUUCGUAUUGCGACGUUAGAGGUGAAAUUCUUGGAUCGUCGCAAGACGGACAGAAGCGAAAGCAUUUGCCAAAAACGCUUUCAUUGAUCAAGAACGAAAGUUAGAGGUUCGAAGGCGAUCAGAUACCGCCCUAGUUCUAACCAUAAACGAUGCCAGCUAGCGAUCCGUCGACGUUCCUCCGAUGACUCGACGGGCAGCUUCCGGGAAACCAAAGCUUUUGGGUUCCGGGGGAAGUAUGGUUGCAAAGCUGAAACUUAAAGGAAUUGACGGAAGGGCACCACCAGGAGUGGAGCCUGCGGCUUAAUUUGACUCGACACGGGAAACCUCACCAGGCCCGGACACCGGAAGGAUUGACAGAUUGAGAGCUCUUUCUUGAUUCGGUGGGUGGUGGUGCAUGGCCGUUCUUAGUUGGUGGAGCGAUUUGUCUGGUUAAUUCCGAUAACGAACGAGACUCUAGCCUGCUAACUAGGCGUAUUUUCGACAUCUCAAAGGUCCGUCGUCCCGGCCCUCGGGUCGUGGGCGUGCGCGAUUUUUACUGUCGGCGUACUAUCAAUUCUUCUUAGAGGGACAAGUGGCUUUUAGCCGCACGAGAUUGAGCAAUAACAGGUCUGUGAUG
Molecule: ribosomal RNA, 878 nt
Filed under: uncultured eukaryote
Lineage: Eukaryota
Description: SSU rRNA
Rfam family: Eukaryotic small subunit ribosomal RNA
Source: RNAcentral